RNAcentral lists this long non-coding RNA (431 nucleotides) under Glycine max (soybean). RNAcentral's name for it is "long non-coding RNA (GMAX_LNC001602)". Lineage: Eukaryota; Viridiplantae; Streptophyta; Magnoliopsida; Fabales; Fabaceae. The record is from RNAcentral.
UAGAAAUUAAAGACAGAUCAAAGGACAUCAUAAUCUCUGGUGCUGAAAAUAUCAGCAGUGUAGAGAUAGAGAAUACUCUUUACUCACAUCCUUCAAUACUGGAGGCAGCAGUGGUUGCAAGGGCAGAUGAAAAAUGGGGCGAGUCUCCCUGCGCUUUUGUGACAUUAAAGCCAGGAGUGGAUAAAAGCAAUGAGCAGCGUAUAAUUGAGGAUAUACUAAAGUUCAGCAGGGCCAAGAUGCCUGCUUAUUGGGUUCCAAAAUCAGUUGUGUUUGGAGCCUUACCUAAGACAGCUACUGGGAAGAUACAGAAGCAUAUACUGAGGGCCAAGGCAAAAGAGAUGGGACCUGUAAAGUUGAGCAAGUUAUAAACAUAUUGAAAUGAUCAUGACGAAAAACGAACUAGUUAUAAACAUAUUGAGUACUUUAUAAAC